UGGGGAAUAUUGGACAAUGGGCGCAAGCCUGAUCAAGCCAUGCCGCGUGUGUGAAGAAGGCCUUUUGGUUGUAAAGCACUUUAAGCGAGGAGGAGGCUACUUGGAUUAAUACUCUAAGAUAGUGGACGUUACUCGCAGAAUAAGCACCGGCUAACUCUGUGCCAGCAGCCGCGGUAAUACAGAGGGUGCGAGCGUUAAUCGGAUUUACUGGGCGUAAAGCGUGCGUAGGCGGCUUCUUAAGUCGGAUGUGAAAUCCCUGAGCUUAACUUAGGAAUUGCAUUCGAUACUGGGAAGCUAGAGUAUGGGAGAGGAUGGUAGAAUUCCAGGUGUAGCGGUGAAAUGCGUAGAGAUCUGGAGGAAUACCGAUGGCGAAGGCAGCCAUCUGGCCUAAUACUGACGCUGAGGUACGAAAGCAUGGGGAGCAAACAGG
This 430-nucleotide ribosomal RNA is filed under the name bacterium. Its description in RNAcentral is "partial 16S ribosomal RNA". It matches the Rfam family "Bacterial small subunit ribosomal RNA", at positions 355 to 776 of the family's 1533-position model. The record is from RNAcentral.